This 520-nucleotide ribosomal RNA is filed under the name Hortaea werneckii. RNAcentral's name for it is "eukaryotic LSU rRNA". The stretch from base 153 to 306 matches the Rfam family "5.8S ribosomal RNA". The record is from RNAcentral. Lineage: Eukaryota; Fungi; Ascomycota; Dothideomycetes; Mycosphaerellales; Teratosphaeriaceae.
UGAGGUUGUGGCGCUCGGCGCCUCCCUCCACCCCAUGUCGAAACGACUCUGUUGCCUCGGGGGCGACCCGGCCUUCGGGCGUCGGGGCCCCCGGUGGACACCUUCAUAACUCUUGCAUCUCUUGCGUCUGAGUGAUACAUACAAUCAAUCAAAACUUUCAACAACGGAUCUCUUGGUUCUGGCAUCGAUGAAGAACGCAGCGAAAUGCGAUAAGUAAUGUGAAUUGCAGAAUUCAGUGAAUCAUCGAAUCUUUGAACGCACAUUGCGCCCCCUGGCAUUCCGGGGGCCAUGCCUGUUCGAGCGUCAUUACACCACUCAAGCCUGGCUUGGUAUUGAGCGCCGCGGCCUGCCCGCGCGCUCCAAUGUCUCCGGCUGAGCCGUCCGUCUCUAAGCGUUGUGAAUAGCGAUCGCUUGCGAGGCCCGGGCGGUUCGACGCCGUUAAACCCCCCAUUUUCUAUGGUUGACCUCGGAUCAGGUAGGGAUACCCGCUGAACUUAAGCAUAUCAAUAAGCCGGAGGAA